RNAcentral lists this ribosomal RNA (1101 nucleotides) under Triticum aestivum (bread wheat). RNAcentral describes it as "partial small subunit ribosomal RNA". Lineage: Eukaryota; Viridiplantae; Streptophyta; Magnoliopsida; Poales; Poaceae. The record is from RNAcentral.
AUGAAUGGGGGUCAAUGCAAAGUUGCUUGGGCAGACGUCUGUGCCCCCACUAAGAAGGGCGGCCUGGGCUUUAGAUGCCUUCGUACUCAUAAUAUUUGCCUGCUUCUAAAAUCCCUCAGUAAAAUACACCAUCCCGGUCUUGGCUCUUGGGACUCUUGGCUUGCCUCCACGUAUGGUUGGGAAGGCGGGCACUACAUUGGUGACACUCAUAGACUACACACAAUUUUUUGGAAGGACCUCCUGUCUGGUCUCCCUUUCUUCCGCUCUAUUACCCACGUCAAGAUCGGUAACGGUGUCUCAACCGCGUUUUGGUUGGAUCUAUGGAUCGGCAACGAUACCUUGGCUGCUCGCUUCCCAAGUCUUUUCUCCCAUGUUACAAAACCUAAUGUAUCUGUAGCGUUUGUUCUUUCAGCGGAGGAUCUUCGUCUUUCGUUACAACCACGUCUGACCAUCGCUGCUACUAACGAGCUUCUUUGCCUGCGUACUGUUUUAGCCACAGUUAACUUGAUGCCGCAGGUACCGGAUAACCGUUUAUGCAGGAUCAACGAUAAGCCUCUUUCUGUUGCUUCUGCAUAUGGAGCUGCUUUCUCAUCUCGGCCGGAUGAUCAGUUCUCUGAAUUCAUCUGGAGGAAGAACUAUGCGACUAAUCGGUGUAGGUUAUUUAUCUGGCUGGCGCAUGGAGGAAGACUGUUUACCAACGAGCGUCGCUUCCAGAGGGACCUACCGGACUCCGAUACCUGCCCUUUCUGUUCGGAAACGGAGUCUACUUCCCACAUGCUAAUUCACUGCCAUGUUGCCACUCAAGCUUGGAUGACUGUGGACUCGCUAAACAUCAACCCUUCAGAUUGUUCUUCCAUCCAAGACCUGCAAGGGUGUUCACCUGCUUGCAACUUUCGCAAUACGGUUACUAUGUCCAUCCUCUGGAGCAUGUGGAAUAGAAGGAACGCUAAAGUUUUCAAGCAAGAAGAUGAGUCUUUGGGCUGCGUUCUUCGGCGGGCAUCGCAAGACCUCUUUCUUUGGGCUCAUCAAUGUGGAAAGGAGAAUCGCAAACAAAUUCUGAUCGACUGGGGAAACAUGUUGUCCCGGCUAGAUGUAGCAUAG